Molecule: long non-coding RNA, 2355 nt
Organism: Aptenodytes forsteri (emperor penguin)
Lineage: Eukaryota; Metazoa; Chordata; Aves; Sphenisciformes; Spheniscidae
Exons: 4
Source: RefSeq, a predicted model, not a curated record
AGACCCUUUUACUAGCCAUGAGCCCAGCCAGCAGAAGGUGGUGUGCUGCUAAAAUCCUCCUGUUCCUGGCAAAGGGAAAAAACCUGUGUAGCUCAAACCCGAGAAGGCUGACCCAAGCAACGGCAGCUGAAGAUGCCUCUGGAAACACACACACACCUGAGGCCUGAUCCUGCCUUCCCCUGGCCAAGUCAAUCUCAGAUGCUGCAAACCAUGUGCAGAUGAGGCUCAGCCAUGCGAGAAGCAUUCCCACAUCAGAGUGUUCAGCAUAAAUCAGACUUUCACAGCCGCCUUUGAGUAGAAGGAGCAAGAAAUCACGUUUUGUCUCCUGUCCAGGAGCUCUGGGAGAAAGGAGCUGUCAGGAACCAGCCCAGAUCCUCUGACAUGUGCUCUGUGCAUCCUCGCUGCCUGGCUCUGCCUUCCCCCAUCUGGUGUAACGGCUCCGUCAGCUCCUGUGUGCUGCCUUCCCCAGCCGAGAUCCCAGCCAGGCUGCUGACAUCCAAGUCAAGCUGUGCCCCAAGCAAGGGACACCGUGACUCCUUUUGGGCUGGGCUAUGCUCUCCCCGGCCUCUCACCCAAGCCAUUAAGCGGGUUUUAACACAGAUCCAGAUCUGGCGUAGUGCCCUGCUGAGACCACUUGCACCCCCCUGGUGUCAUAUCUUUAGGCUCUUUUUUUCUCUAGAGGAUUGGCCCAGAGAAGUCACAUGCUUUUCUAACUCUCUUGUCAUUAGUCUCACUAGGAACUAUUUUCCUAAUAUCUAGGUAGAAUUUCCCUUGCUGUGCCUUGUGUCCAUUGCCUCCCAUGCACCUCCAGGAAGAGUGCGGCUCUGUUUUCUCUAUAAUCACCUGUUAGCCUUCUCCUCUGGCCAAAGGAGCCCAGCUCCCUCCACAUCUUCCAAUUUGGCAAAGUACCGCUAAUUUUUCUUGUACUGCUUCAUAAACAUUUGAGGGGGAGGGGCGAGUUCCCACAAACACUACAUGGGGCAUCUACGCCCAAGCAUGUCCUGACAAGUAGGGAGGGCUUUGGUGGAGGUGGCUGCAGAAAUCCUACCAGCACCUGCAGUGGAGUUGAGCAAGGGACCAAAAGCUCCAUUGCUGAUCCUGUUGAAACAGAGGGUUAAAGCCUUUCUGCUGGAGCCAUUCCCUGCUAGUGAGGUCCAUACAGUCCAUUAAAAUUAGGGAUCUUAUUAUGGGCUAUAUAAAAAAGGUAAAGAGGAAAUGAAAACCUUAUGAAGGGUUUCUUAUGUGUGCAGAUGGCAAGGGCACCUGAGGCCAAGAAAGCCUCUCCAACAGGCUUUUUCCAAACAGAACUGCUCACUUCGCAGGUUUUCCCCUCUUUCAAAAAGAGAUAAAUAGACGCAGGACUAUCUUUUCUGCACAGCUCACCCCUGCUGACCAGCCACACUGUCCUCGGGAUGGAGAAACAGACCCUAAACAUGUGUCAUGCUCUCAGGAGCAUGGUAUCCUCUCCUCCUAGCACCAAAUGCAGCCUUCAAAUGCACUUUUAGGUCAUACUCAGGUCUCUCCUGAACCCAAAGGAGCUGACUGUGUUUGCUGCUUCCCCCAGCCUAGUUGAGGACUGGUGAGACAUCCUCUGUCCAUCAGCACAGAAGAGCUGUUUGAGUCUAUUGAGUAGCAUCAGGAGCACUGAGAGCCAGUCAAAACUGGGAAUUCAGCCUUCCAGCAGUGGCACUGGGCCACUGCUCUGCCUCUGUUUCAAGACAGCAGAAACCAGGGACCUCAAAUAUGGGAAGGGCUUUGGGUCUGUAGCAGAACCAGAGACCCUAGGAGUCUGGGCAUCCAUUUGUUCACUAUGACCACCUGCUGGGACAUUUUUUCCCUUUCUCCUCCUGUCCCCACCCACCGUGUGUGGCUGUGCUGUCACGUGGUGGUGCCAGAGUGAGACAAGGUCCCAGAGCUGCUCUCUGAACCUGUAGGAUCCUGUGGGACCCCUUGGCCACCCCCUUGGGUCCUGUCGGGGCCCCAGAGUGACUGCAGAGGCUGGAAGUGUCCCUGGUGCAUGAUCCUUGUUUAUACAGAGCAUAAUCUCUCUAUAGAGCUGUAGGGGAGUGAUUUUUGUCUCCCUGUGCAGGCUAAGAGCUGAAGCACGGUGACAUGACCAAGGUUGUUCAGACAACCUGUGGCAGAGCAAGAACAGCAGCCCAGCGGUGUCAUGCGCCCUCGUCACUGCUGCUCAUCACUGCUGCUCGGUGGCAGAUCUCUGGCCUCCUUGUCCCCCCAGCCGCCCAGCCAGCCAGCCCACUCCUUUCUCCUUCAGACUCUUAAAGACUUGCAAAGGCUCGAGCGUGGUUUCAUUUUCACUAAUAAAUCCCUGCUUGCACUUGAAGCUGCUGUGCC